RNAcentral lists this ribosomal RNA (486 nucleotides) under uncultured bacterium. RNAcentral's name for it is "partial 16S ribosomal RNA". It matches the Rfam family "Bacterial small subunit ribosomal RNA", at positions 30 to 507 of the family's 1533-position model. The record is from RNAcentral.
AUUGAACGCUGGCGGCAUGCCUUACACAUGCAAGUCGAACGGCAGCGCGGACUUCGGUCUGGCGGCGAGUGGCGAACGGGUGAGUAAUACAUCGGAACGUACCCUGUUGUGGGGGAUAACUAGUCGAAAGAUUAGCUAAUGCCGCAUACGACCUGAGGGUGAAAGUGGGGGACCGGAAACGGCCUCAUGCAGCAGGAGCGGCCGAUGUCUGAUUAGCUAGUUGGUGGGGUAAAGGCCCACCAAGGCGACGAUCAGUAGCUGGUCUGAGAGGACGAUCAGCCACACUGGGACUGAGACACGGCCCAGACUCCUACGGGAGGCAGCAGUGGGGAAUUUUGGACAAUGGGGGCAACCCUGAUCCAGCAAUGCCGCGUGUGUGAAGAAGGCCUUCGGGUUGUAAAGCACUUUUGUCCGGAAAGAAAUCGCGCUGGUUAAUACCUGGCGUGGAUGACGGUACCGGAAGAAUAAGCACCGGCUAACUACGUG